Molecule: ribosomal RNA, 594 nt
Filed under: Triticum aestivum (bread wheat)
Lineage: Eukaryota; Viridiplantae; Streptophyta; Magnoliopsida; Poales; Poaceae
Description: partial small subunit ribosomal RNA
Source: RNAcentral
AUGGAGGUGGUCAGUGCUUCGCAUGGCGUGCUGGGUCCCCUCCUGGGGAAGCUCACCGAUUUGCUUGCUCGUGAGUAUGCCCGUUUGAAAGGCGUCCGCCGCGAGAUCCGGUCACUCAAAUCCGAGCUGACCAGCAUGCAUGCAGCGGUUCAGAAGUACAUGACGCGGCAAGAUCCUGAUGUCCAGGUGAAGGCGUGGAUAUCGCUGCUGAGGGAGUUGACAUAUGACAUCGAGGAUGUCAUCGACAAGUUCAUCUACCAGCUCGGUAAUGGCGGCCAACAUCAGGGUGGCUUCAAGGAGUUCUUUCGCAAGACUGCUUGCCGGCUCAAGACGCUGGGCUCUCGUCGUGGAAUUGCCAACCAGAUUGAAGAUCUGAAAAUUCGUCUCAAGGAGGUAAAAGAGUUGAAAAGUAGUUACAAGCUGGAUGGUGUUCACUUUGAACAUUCAGCUGUGGAUCCCCGCUUGUCUGCUCUUUUUGUUGAGGAAGCACACCUUGUGGGCAUUGAUGGUCCAAGAGAUGAUCUUGCUAGUUGGAUGUUGGAAGAUGAAAGUAGCUCAACCAAGCAUCGCAAGGUAUCUCAUUAUUAUCGAUGA